Cavia porcellus (domestic guinea pig) is the source of this 1570-nucleotide long non-coding RNA. RefSeq lists it as uncharacterized. The transcript is spliced from 6 exons. NCBI's taxonomy places the organism in Eukaryota, Metazoa, Chordata, Mammalia, Rodentia, Caviidae. The record is from RefSeq and is a predicted model, not a curated record.
CAAGUUAACAACAGCAAAAUAACUCAGAAGUGUCUUGAUGUAGCAAAUGAGUGUGAUCUGACCAUCAACGAUGGGAAAGUAGCCUCUCUUGAGAGUUUUAGACUUUUUUCAGAGAUAGCAUGUCGCAGAUGCAAGAAACUGUUCAUGCAUGGAGUAGUAAGUCCAAUUCUUUUCUUCUACUCACUGCAUGUGCGGCAGGGGAGGUGGUGGCACAUGGCUAUAAUACCAGCACUGGGGAGGCUGAGACGGCAGGACCUUCACAGGUUCAAGGCCAGCUGAACAACAUAGUGAGACCUUGUCUCAAACAAACAAAAAACAAAUAAACAAAAAUUAGCUUGUAGGAAAUUCAGUAAUAUUUCCAUUGCUUUCUGGACUUUCACCUUCUGUAUUUGGCUUUCAUGACAUAUUCUGCAGAUCCACUACAAUCAGCUUAAUUAAUUGUAUUUUAUGACUUUGGGUCAGAAUGCCAGAAUUUCUGUGCCAAUUUUAUUGUACUCAUUGAAACCUCAAGAGUAUAUUUCAGAUAUUGGCUUUCAGACCUUUCUUUUUGAAUACGUUGCUAUUUACUUACCAUGUGCCAAAGCCACCAUGUCAAUGUAAUUGAAAACAAGCAAGAAGGAAACUGGAUGGCUCAGAUGAAUGGAAAUGUGAUACAGACCCUUCCACCCACAACCCACUGGCUGGAAUCCAGGAGAGGCUGACGGGGAUGAAAAGUAAUCACCAUCUGAUGGCUGGACAAUGGUCUGUGCGAAAUGAGCUGGUUAUCUCAAGUCCAGUUCCUCAUCGACAGGUGUUCAUGUUGCAGUUUCUACCGUCAGUGACAGUAGCCCAGGAUGUGAAUGAGAGACCAAAGCUACCUUCUCUUUCAUUUGAGCUUGCUGCCCAUUUCUGACACAAGGAAACUUGGGCUUCUGCCCUGAACUUUAUAGUAGGCACGGAGGGUAUGCAUACCGCAGUGUAACUUCUUGCACAUGUAUAGGUGAUAAUGACUUCCUAAAAAAUAAACAACUCGCCUACAAAUUUUCAAAGACCACCUGAAGCACAGCUUCAAAUCACAGCAAUUGCUUCCUGUGGCAACUGUAUUGUACUGCAAGGCAUUCGGAACAGGCCUGUCUUUUAGCUUUAUAGAAUGCAAGGUUUCAACGGACGCAUUUAUAGAAGUGAUGACUUAGCGGGUCCCCAUCCGACCCCUCGCACAGCUUAGAAUUACUCUCCAAACCGAGGGGCUACAAGGACACACAGCCAAAUAGUGGAGAGGAGGUGGAGUGGAUAUGACUCUGAACUAGUGACCCAGUCGACACGGGAAGUUCUUCUUGGUUCCGAACCAGGAUGACCUAUCACUUGAUCACAGCCAACAGCUCACCAUCCCUCCUCCCCAAAGGCCAACCCAAGUCCCUGAGCCCAGCCCAGAAGCAGGGAGAAGAGCACAGAGGUGGCUGUCAGCUCCAAGGUGCACCCAAGCAUCCUGGCAUGGGGGAUUUAAAGCCUUCUUAAUACAUCCAUAAUUUAUUUUAUUAUUUUUAUUUUACUCUUUUGCCUUUUAAUUGUGAUAAAAAUAAAUUUUACCAUG